Chrysemys picta bellii (western painted turtle) is the source of this 2717-nucleotide non-coding RNA. Lineage: Eukaryota; Metazoa; Chordata; Testudines; Emydidae. The record is from RefSeq and is a predicted model, not a curated record.
AGGUGCAUGUGUUCGGGCACCCAGAGCAGCCGGGAGAGAGGUAAGUCACCGUGGGGCAAGGGGGAGUCUGGGGAUGCCCUGGCCACCCAGGGACAUUAGUCCUGUUUGGGGGGGAUGGGAGGGAGGAGGAAAAAUCAAACUGAAAGCAGCCCUUUAAGCUUUCUUUAGCAGUGUGCUCGUGCACAGAGAAGAGGAUUGGAUGACCAAAAGUCAAUCACGCUCUCUGUCGGAAAAUUUAAAACAAAAAAAGAGGGAGCCCCACCCCUGGGAAAGCCCCAAAACAAGCAGCAAGCGAAGUAUAGACACAAUAGCCUAAUAGAACAAAUACACAAAGAAAGAAGCCAAAAUCUGCUCCCUGUGAGCGGGUUUGGCAACUGGAGGUGGGGCUCGGGGGAGAGGGGUCCAGCUUUGUGGGAGCUGGGCAGAUGGGGAGCAGCUCCCUAUACAGGGACCCCUCCCCCCACUUACUGGCCCAAUGGCUCCUCAGCCACAGGGAGAGGGGUCACUGUAGGGGGAGCUCCUCUUUCUGUCUGCCCAACACCCUGUGUAUCUGGACCCCCUGCCAAGCCUUACCCACGCUGCACCUGGAAACCCCUUCUGCAUCAGGAGCCCACCCACUCCCCCAGAGCCUCACCCCCUGCAAUGGGAGCUCCACACAGCUAGACCCCCCACCCCACUGAUCUCAACCAGCUGCAUCCUGACCCCCACACUCCCCCAGCACCCAGGUUCCGCUCUCCCGCUGAGCCCUAACCACCCGGAGAGUGCUAUUCCCCCUUCACCCAGAACCUCCCAGUGACUUGUUGUGUAUAUAGAUCCUCCUCCUCUCCCCCCCCCUCUCCCCGAGAUUGCACCACCCAGAACCUUGGUGGGGAAAUUCUGCACCAAAAAAUAAAAAAAAUUCUGCAUAUUUUAUUUGUCAAAAUAACUAUUGCUGGGGGAAUUCCGCACCACUGCACGUGCGCAGAACCAUCCCCGGGCAGCGUCUCUGCUGCCUGCAAAAAAAAUGGUUUCUGGGGGGAAGCAAAAAGCAGCUGCACCAGCGCUCACACCCCCCUCCCCAGCAAUGCAGGCGCCUCUGUUCUGGUAGCCGGGGGAGAGGUGGUCUGGGGAUGUCCUGGCUGCCCAGGGCCGUUAGUCCUGGGUGGGCAGGGGAGAGGAGGACGAUGACAACAGAGGCAGAGCUCCCCCUUCCUCUCCCCUGCACAAAGCAACCAGAGCUGGGUCAGAAACCCCCCAGGUGCAGGAAGCUCUGCACCGUGCAGGGGGGGAGGUGUCUGGGUGCAGGGGAUGAGGGCUCAGUGCUUUGGGAGUUCCAGGUGCUGGGGGGGUGUUUGAGUGCAGGGGGGUCCAGACAUAGCUGCUGACUUUUAUCUGCCCUCGAUCUGCCUCUUUCUGCCCCACUCCAUCCCAUCCCCAAGGCCCCCACCCCCCCAGCUCUCACUGCACUCCCUGAGCCACCAAUCAGUGGUGUGGUGGUGCUGCCAAUCUGAGCACCCAUUGUAACUUUUCUGUGGGUGCUCCACAGAAUCAGUGCCUAUGCAUCUGGAUACACAAGUGUUGGGAGGACAUGGGGAGCAGCUCCCUGGACAGUGACCUCCUCCCCACACUUUCUGCCCCCAUUGCUCCUCAGCCACAGGGGAAGGGGUCACUGUCCGCCCAAUUCCUGUGCACCUGGAUGCCUUCCCCCACCGAACCUCGCCUUCCCUGCUCCCAGAAACCCCCCACCAAGCUGAGCUUCAUCCCCUCCAUCAGGAGCCCUCCACCAAACCCCCGAUACCCAAAUCCACACACCCCUGAGCUUCAGCACCUGCAUCAGCAGCCCCCCCACCCCACUGACCCCAAAAAGAUGCACCCUGACCCCAACCCCACCAAGUCCCACUUCGCUACCAUCCAGUCCCCGCUGAGCCCCCCAUAUUCCCCCACUGAGCUCUAACCGCCUUCACCUGGACUCGCCUGCAGAGUCCCAUUCCCCCUGCACUCAGAACCCCCCAAUGAGCCCCUGUGCAUCCAGAUCCCCGCCAGGCCUCCCACCCAGCUGUCCGCACCCAGAUUGUACCCCACAGAACACUGGUGUUCUUGAGAGAAUUCUGCACCAAAAAUAAAAAAUUCUGUGCCUACAAAUGUUAAAAUUCUGCAUAUUUUAUUUGUGAAAAUAACCCAGUAACAGUAUAAUCACACCAAUACUUGCUGACAGGUAUUUUGAAAUAAAUUAUCAAAACAAUUGAAAAUGGUGUGAUUAUAUUGUAUUAUUUUGACAAAUAAAAUAUGCAGAGUUUUGCAGAAUUUUUAAUUUUUUGGCACAGAAUUCCCUCAGGAGUAUUUUACAAACCUUUGGUCUCUUACUGCAGAGGGGUGGGCCCUGGAAACUACAGGUCCCAGCAUGCAAUGCAAGCAAUCUAAGCUGCAGUGUUAUAUGCUGGGGCCUGCAGGUUGCCUAGGGAUGGGCUACCUGCCUGGCUACAUCUGAAACGGCUUCCCCCCUGUGUUAAAUUGUCCAGGGGCCAAAUGCUGGUCACUUGCUUUUGGCAGCCAAGUUUACAGCCUCUUUAGCCUUUCAGUAAUGUCAAACGAGCAUCACCACGCGAGCCAGCCAGCUCCAGAGCAUGCGUCUCGUUCCUGGUCCUUGGACAGUCAUCGCAGCUCGGUACAUGUACGGCCUGGAAUCGGUCACUCUUAUUUUUAUCAGUGUCAAGAAUAAACAUGCUCAUCUGGCUUAA